AAUCAAACCAAGGGCCACGUACACCAAAAUAUCCUUGCGGAACAUGCAAUCGUGAAGUCACAUGGAAAACUGAAGCUGUCUGCUGUGAUAGCUGUGGAAAGUGGUAUCACAUCAACUGCCAACAAAUAAAUCGCUCUAAGUACGAAAUAUUAGGAAAGAGUAACAUCUCAUGGGAAUGCAUCAACUGUGGCAUGCCAAAUUUUUCCACAACCUUUUUCAAUACCACAAUUGAGACAUCAAACAGUUUUUUUCAGAAUUAGACAUAAAUAAUGAGCCAAAUGGUGUGGAUAACAUCGGCCCACCAAAUUUUACAUCUUCAACCUUACCAAAAAAAACCAAGGGUAAAUACAGAAAUACAAAAACAAACCGAAUUCAGGUAAAACACCACUGAGACAACUUACCAUUAAUUGUCAGUCUAUAAAAAACAAAAACAAACUAAAAUUGAACAAAUGAUUAAAUCUGGUGAGCCAGACAUAAUUUACGGCACAGAACCUGGCUCUCAAAUACGAUAUCACCAUCAAAGUACACCGUAUACAACAAAAAUAGAAAAGACGGAUAUGGAGGAGUACUACUAUCAGUAUCAAACAAUUACAUAUCAUCACAAGUAAAUGAAUUUGACACAGAUUGUGAAAUAAUUUGGGCAUAUAAUAAAACACUAUACUUAGGUGUGUAUAGACCACCUUCAGAUAAAGGGGAAUCAUUAGAAAACAUGGGUAUCUCUCUUAAUACUGAAUGCAAGAAAACAAAUGCAAACAUCUGGCUGAGUGGUGACUACAAUCUAGGCCACAUAAACUGGGAAAAACACUUGGUAUUACAAAACAAACCUGAUCCAGCACUACACCAACAACUGCUUAAUAUUCUGGAUGAUAAUAACCUAACACAAGUAAUUAAAAAGAACACCAGAAAUGAUAGAACUUAAGAUUUAAUGUGCAUGACAUAUCCAUCCUUUGUGAACAGGGUUGAGACCCUCCCAUCAAUUAGAGGAAGCGACCAUGACAUUGUCUUUUGUGAAAUCAACUUUGCUAUACAAACACAAAAACAACAACCACAUAAAGCACUAAUAUACAAAAAACGCAAACUGGGAGAACAUAAAGAAAGAUCUCAUCCUUACACAUGAUUAUUUUAAAGCAAACAAGACAAAUAUGACUGUCGAUGAUCUAUGGACCACCUUUAAACCAAAACGUCAGAGACCAUCAACAAAAAUAUACCAACUAAAGUAAUUGGGAAAAAUUCAAAAUUACCAUGGGUAAAUAGAGACCUGAAAAGACUCAUAAGAAAGAAAAACAAACUCUAUAAAAAGAAAAAUAAUGAUUCAAAUUACAAAAAUUAAUACAAAGAGAUAAAGACCAAAUUUCAAAAAGAGAUAAAGACCAAACUUCAAAAAGAGAUAAGAAAAGCAUACUGGGUAUACAUCGAAAAUAUGAUCUUUGAAAUCGAUAUAAAAGAACCAGACCAGCAUUGAUUCAACAAAUAACCUAAAAAGCUGUACUCAUAUAUAAAAAUCCAAAGAAAGGAAAAUACCGGCAUUGCAUCUUUAAGAAGCGAAGGCACCCUCCAUACAAACCCCUCUGAAAAAGCAAACUAAUAUAAACCAGCAAUUUC
Molecule: long non-coding RNA, 1602 nt
Filed under: Mytilus galloprovincialis (Mediterranean mussel)
Lineage: Eukaryota; Metazoa; Mollusca; Bivalvia; Mytilida; Mytilidae
Source: RNAcentral